UGAGUACGAGAUGCUACGGCGUCGAAGCAGUCUAGGUCAUACUUCCAAGAAAAGCUUGCACUGUCAUAAACAAAGAAUGCCUGUACCAUAACCGACACAGGUGGGUAGGUAGAGUAUACUAAGGGGCGCGAGAUAACUCUCUCUAAGGAACUCGGCAAAAUGACUCCGUAACUUCGGGAGAAGGAGUGCCUUAUUUUUAAGGUUGCAAUAACAAGAUCCAAGCAACUGUUUACCAAAAACACAGGUCUCCGCUAAGUCGUAAGACGAUGUAUGGGGGCUGACGCCUGCCCAGUGCCAGAAGGUUAAAGAAGUUGGUUAGCAUUUGCGAAGCUGAUAACUGAAGCCCUGGUGAACGGCGGCCGUAACAAUAACGGUCCUAAGGUAGCGAAAUUCCUUGUCGGGUAAGUUCCGACCCGCACGAAAGGCGUAAUGAUUUGGAUACUGUCUCGGAGAGGGGCUCGGUGAAAUAGACUUGUCUGUGAAGAUGCGGACUACCUGCACCUGGACAGAAAGACCCUAUGAAGCUUUACUGUAACUUGAGAUUGAAAUUGGACUUUAUUUGCGCAGUAUAGGUGGGAGGCGUUGAGAAUAAUCUUGCGGGAUUAUCGGAGCCAUCAGUGAGAUACCACUCUUGUAAUGUUAGAUUUCUAACUUUGUAUCAUUAUCUGGUCAAGGAACAGUUUCAGGCGGGCAGUUUGACUGGGGCGGUCGCCUCCCAAAGGGUAACGGAGGCGCACAAAGGUUUCCUCUGAACGGGUAGAAAUCGUAUCUAGAGUGUAAAGGCAUAAGGAAGCUUGACUGUGAGACCUACAAGUCGAGCAGGGACGAAAGUCGGUCUUAGUGAUCUGACGGUGCUGAGUGGAAAGGCCGUCACUCAACGGAUAAAAGUUACUCUAGGAUAACAGGCUGAUCUCCCCCAAGAGUUCACAUCGACGGGGAGGUUUGGCACCUCGAUGUCGGCUCAUCGCAUCCUGGGGCGGUAGUACGUCCCAAGGGUUGGGCUGUUCGCCCAUGAAAGCGGUACGCGAGCUGGGUUCAGAACGUCGUGAGACAGUUCGGUCCAUAUCCGGUGUAGGCGUUAGAAUAUUGAAAGGAGCCUUCUCUAGUACGAGAGGACCGAGAAGGACAUACCUCUGGUGUGCCAGUUAUCGUGCCAACGGUAAACGCUGGGUAGCUAUGUAUGGAGUGGAUAACCGCUGAAAGCAUCUAAGUGGGAAGCCCACCUUAAGAUAAG
This 1234-nucleotide ribosomal RNA is filed under the name metagenome. RNAcentral describes it as "bacterial LSU rRNA". It matches the Rfam family "Bacterial large subunit ribosomal RNA", at positions 1564 to 2808 of the family's 2925-position model. The record is from RNAcentral.